This 383-nucleotide ribosomal RNA is filed under the name uncultured eukaryote. Its description in RNAcentral is "partial 18S ribosomal RNA". It matches the Rfam family "Eukaryotic small subunit ribosomal RNA", at positions 592 to 976 of the family's 1831-position model. The record is from RNAcentral.
CAAUGGCGUAUAUUAAAGUUGUUGCAGUUAAAAAGCUCGUAGUUGGAUUUCUGGUGGGAGCGAUCGGUCUGGCGCUUAGCGCGAGUACUUGCAUCGCCUCCGGCCAUCCUUGGGGAGAGUCUGUCUGGCAUUAGGUUGUCGGGCAGAGGAUCCUCAUCGUUUACUGUGAAAAAAUUAGAGUGUUCAAAGCAGGCUUAUGCCGUUGAAUAUAUUAGCAUGGAAUAAUAAGAUAGGACUUUGGUACUAUUUUGUUGGUUUGCGCACCAAAGUAAUGAUUAAUAGGGACAGUUGGGGGUAUUCGUAUUCCGUUGUCAGAGGUGAAAUUCUUGGAUUUACGGAAGACGAACUACUGCGAAAGCAUUUACCAAGGAUGUUUUCAUUAA